Long non-coding RNA from Peromyscus eremicus (cactus mouse), 1031 nucleotides. RefSeq lists it as uncharacterized. NCBI's taxonomy places the organism in Eukaryota, Metazoa, Chordata, Mammalia, Rodentia, Cricetidae. The transcript is spliced from 5 exons. The record is from RefSeq and is a predicted model, not a curated record.
GGCACACAGAUGAAAAAGUAGGCUAGAGAUUCCAAACUCUCAGGGUGGAAGUGAGGAUGGGAAAGGGGCCUCUGGUUCAUUACGAGAGAAAAGGCUAGAGCUUCUUCUAUCAGAGUGGUCUAUGUGUUAAAGGUGACCACCAUGGAGAGUGUCCCUUGUCUUCAGCAGCUGCUUGUCUGACUUCUUCAAUAACCUACCACCUCCAUGAACACUGAGACCAGACAGGUUUCGCUUACUAUUGCUUCCCCAGGACCUGGCACACCACCUGGCACGCAGUAGCACUGAAGGCGUAAACUUAAAAUGUGUUGCAAGUGAGUAGAAGUCUAAAGAAAGAGAAAUCUCAGAAGAGGGAGUUCACUGUUACCUUGUGCAAUUUCUAAAUGAAUAGCGAAGAUUUGAGCAUGGAGAUGUCAGUGGAGUAAGUCCAAUCUCAUUUAAGAUCAAUCUUAAUGAUCCAGAAAAAGAAAAACAGGCAACCUAUGGACUUUGGGAAGUCAGUCGAGGACACGGAUUAACGAGCCUCUUCCCUUCUGACCGGUCAGCACCUGCAGCCCAGGAGGAGGAGGAACCUCCAGUCUUUAAAUGGAAGAAGAAGCCCGGCAUCCUCCGUUGAUCUGUCUCCUGGGAAUUCGUCCAAAUAUUCCUUUGAAAGUUUCCCAUGCCUUCCAUUUAAAGAAAAGAUGCUGUCAUCUGGGUCACAUAUUGAGUCCACCAGAGCAGCCAGGCCCUUGUUGACUCUCGUCCAUCAAGAGGAGGUGUGCCUAAGGAAAUACGGGUGAGUGGAGCCAGGCGGAAAGCCCAGAGAUGAAGAAGUGACACUCCUCUGCCCCCGUGAGUGUGCUGCAGAGCACAUUAACUAUGUGGAGACCACAGUUCUUGCUGGGAGCCCUGUGAGGAUUCAUUCCCCCCUCUACUAACGUUGUUGAAAUCUGGGCAAGAGGUUUCCUGGUGCUGGGAAAGUGGCUUCACAUUAGACUCUUUGCCUCAGCUGGACUUUGGUAUCACCCCUGCCUCAGUAGCUGUGUUUUGGU